Molecule: ribosomal RNA, 217 nt
Filed under: Toxorhynchites haemorrhoidalis superbus
Lineage: Eukaryota; Metazoa; Arthropoda; Insecta; Diptera; Culicidae
Description: partial 16S ribosomal RNA
Source: RNAcentral
GAUCUUUAUUUUUGUUUAUUAUAAUUUUUUAAGGAUUAUUAGAAUUAUAUUAUAAUUAAAAAUUUUGCUGGGGUGGUAUAAAAAUUUAAUUAACUUUUAAUUUUAUUAAACAUUAAUAUAUGGGUAAUUGAUCCAAUUUUAUUGAUUAAAAAUUUAAGUUACCUUAGGGAUAACAGCGUAAUUUUUUUUUAGAGUUCAUAUCGACAAAAAAGAUUGC